AGGCAGUAAAUGACAACUCCCAGAUGGGAGUGCGAACGCGCGCUCUUGCACAGUGAGCCAAGUGCCAUUUUGAAAGAGUUGUCAUUGUACUUUGAACUAGCAGGCGACAAUAGUGGGCGCUGUGAGGAGAGAAGUUGCUGCCAUCUGUCCCAGAUUGAAGAAUGAAGGAAGAUGAAGUUCUGGACACUGGAGGUUCUAACCGAGACCAGGCGGAGGGCAAAUGGGAUGGAAGUUUUCAUA
Chelonoidis abingdonii (Abingdon island giant tortoise) is the source of this 240-nucleotide non-coding RNA. NCBI's taxonomy places the organism in Eukaryota, Metazoa, Chordata, Testudines, Testudinidae. The record is from RefSeq and is a predicted model, not a curated record.